RNAcentral lists this long non-coding RNA (1143 nucleotides) under Mus spicilegus (steppe mouse). RNAcentral's name for it is "lncRNA (ENSMSIG00000015507.1)". Lineage: Eukaryota; Metazoa; Chordata; Mammalia; Rodentia; Muridae. The record is from RNAcentral.
GUCAAAGGCAUCAUGGUAAAAGGAGACCGAGCAAAAAUGAAGGUUUUAAACCUGUGUCUGUGCGUAAGAGUUGAAACAAAGUAAAGGGCCCAAAACUUCAAGCAAUUCAUCUAACUAUCUGCAUUUACCUGAAAAGAGAGGCAAAGGCACAGAUCUUUAUGCCUUCACCCAUCUAAUGAACCCAGCUUAUCUGAUGCUUUGAGUAUCAGAUGGAAAACAGUGGGAAAACUGAUGUCAUGCUAAGACAGGGAAGAUGCUGGAAACAGACAACACUCCAAGAGAUUGUGUUUCAUGAAUGUUCACCAGUAAUGACAUAUGGAUGGAAAAUUUUAUUGAACCAGGUGUGGCUAAAUAAAGAAAUGUAUGCACAAGAUUGUCAGAAACUUAAUGACAACGGCCCAGCCUUGAGGUAUGAAUAGACUACUUUAUCCCAAAACAGAUACUAAUUUUUGAUAAUUUGCACUGAGGGUAAGAUUAAACAGAUUUUAUUAAUGAGCAGUAAAAGAUAUCAUCCAGAAAAGACCCACAUGUUACUUUUAGACAAUUCUCUUCUCAACGCACACCCCCAAAUUUUAGUGGAUGUUACUAUGAAUAAUUUGCAGUGUAAUUACUGUAUUAAAGAGUAAAUUCUAAAUUAAUAACAGCAGAUGUCAUUUCAACUUGGUCUGAUGUAAUCAGUUAAAGUGUUUUGAAGUUUAUAAUAUUUAUGAGAAUUAAGGAUUCUAAACAAUAGUGAGAUCUUCAUUUUUUCCCUUUUCUUAGGUCUGUCUGUUCUUCAUAACAGUAAUAGUUAUUUUAGUUUGCCAUCCAAAUGUGAAAGUCAGUACACACACACACACACACACACACACACACACACACACACACACACACAAACACACACACAGAGCUUUGCGGAUCAAAUCCAGAGCUUUGUGCUUGUGCUUGCUAGGGAAGUACUCUACAUCUAUCUAUCUAACUGUCUGUCUUUCUGUCCAUUCAUCUGCCCAUUUUUCUAUCUGUCUUUCUGCUAUCCAUCUGUUCAUCUUUCUAUCAUCUAUCUGUCUGUCUGUCUACGUAUCUAUCUAUAAUCUAUCAACUAUGUCUAUAUCAAUAUGUAUAUAUAUGUUUUGAUUUCUAAUAAAGACUGUCACAUAAUUGUCA